This 266-nucleotide ribosomal RNA is filed under the name uncultured bacterium. Its description in RNAcentral is "partial 16S ribosomal RNA". It matches the Rfam family "Bacterial small subunit ribosomal RNA", at positions 331 to 590 of the family's 1533-position model. The record is from RNAcentral.
CGCCACCUACGGGACGCAGCAGUGGGGAAUAUUGCGCAAUGGGCGAAAGCCUAACGCAGCGACGCCGCGUGAGGGAUGAAGGUCUUCGGAUCGUAAACUUCUGUCAGGAGGGAAGAAGUGGUUAUAUGCGAAUAGUGUAUGACUUUGACGGUACCUCCAAAGGAAGCACCGGCUAACUCCGUGCCAGCAGCCGCGGUAAUACGCAGGGUGCGAGCGUUAAUCGGAAUCACUGGGCGUAAAGCGCGCGUAGGCGGCUUUUCAAGUCA